GAUGAACGCUGGCGGCGUGCCUAAUACAUGCAAGUCGAGCGAACGGACGAGAAGCUUGCUUCUCUGAUGUUAGCGGCGGACGGGUGAGUAACACGUGGAUAACCUACCUAUAAGACUGGGAUAACUUCGGGAAACCGGAGCUAAUACCGGAUAAUAUUUUGAACCGCAUGGUUCAAAAGUGAAAGACGGUCUUGCUGUCACUUAUAGAUGGAUCCGCGCUGCAUUAGCUAGUUGGUGAGGUAACGGCUUACCAAGGCAACGAUGCAUAGCCGACCUGAGAGGGUGAUAGGCCACACUGGAACUGAGACACGGUCCAGACUCCUACGGGAGGCAGCAGUAGGGAAUCUUCCGCAAUGGGCGAAAGCCUGACGGAGCAACGCCGCGUGAGUGAUGAAGGUCUUCGGAUCGUAAAACUCUGUUAUUAGGGAAGAACAUAUGUGUAAGUAACUGUGCACAUCUUGACGGUACCUAAUCAGAAAGCAACGGCUAACUACGUG
RNAcentral lists this ribosomal RNA (497 nucleotides) under uncultured bacterium. Its description in RNAcentral is "partial 16S ribosomal RNA". It matches the Rfam family "Bacterial small subunit ribosomal RNA", at positions 28 to 507 of the family's 1533-position model. The record is from RNAcentral.